Small nuclear RNA from Pipistrellus kuhlii (Kuhl's pipistrelle), 170 nucleotides. RefSeq annotates it as U1 spliceosomal RNA. The record is from RefSeq and is a predicted model, not a curated record. NCBI's taxonomy places the organism in Eukaryota, Metazoa, Chordata, Mammalia, Chiroptera, Vespertilionidae. The transcript has a single exon.
AUACUUACCUGGCAGUGGAGAUACCAUGAUCAUGAAGGUGGUUUUCCCAGGGCGAGGCUUAUCCAUUGCACUCCGAAUGUGCUGACCCCUGCGAUUUCCCCAAAUGUGGGGAACUUGACUGCAUAAUUUGUGGUUUUUUAAAGAGAGGAACAUCGAUUCAUUGCCUCUUC